This 1050-nucleotide ribosomal RNA is filed under the name Triticum aestivum (bread wheat). RNAcentral's name for it is "partial small subunit ribosomal RNA". Lineage: Eukaryota; Viridiplantae; Streptophyta; Magnoliopsida; Poales; Poaceae. The record is from RNAcentral.
AUGGAUGGCGGCACGGCGGAGCUGCGCGAGACCCACCGCCUGGUUGGCCACGCCGACCGCGCGUGGGCACUCGCCUGGAACCCCAACCCGGGCGCCGGCGCCGGCCCCGUCCUCGCCUCCUGCGGCGCCGACAAGACAGUGCGCAUCUGGAAGCGCGCCCCCGACGGCGCCUGGCACUGCUCGGAUGUGCUCGAAGGCGUGCACGAAAGCACGGUGAGGUCCUGCGCCUGGUCCCCCGACGGGAAGCUGUUGGCGGACGCGAGCUUCGAUGGCACGACGGCGAUUUGGGAGUACUCCGGUGGAGACUUUGAGUUGGUCGACACGUUGGAGGGGCACGUGAACGAGGUGAAGAGUGUGUCGUGGAGCCAGUCCGGUUCGAUGGUCGCGACGUGCAGCCGGGACAGGGCAGCGUGGAUAUGGGAGAUUCUGCCGGGGAACGAUCAUGAGUGCGUAGAUGUGCUGGAGGGGCACACUGAGGAUGUGAAGAUGGUCCAGUGGCACCCGUUCUUUGAUGUUCUGGUUUCUGUCAGUUAUGACAAUACGAUCAGGGUCUGGGCUGAUGACGGCGAUGGUAAAUGGCCUUGUGUACAGACAUUAACUGAAGCCGGUAACAGUGGUCAUUCCUCAACAGUAUGGUCAAUAUCUUUUAACCAGAAAGGAGAUAGGAUGGUCACAUGCAGUGAUGACUGUACUUUGAAAAUUUGGGAUGCGAGUAUUGAUUUGUCGCAACCAACAACUGGAGAAGGUCAUGAAUCUUGGCGUCAUAUUUCUACUCUAUCUGGAUAUCAUGGCCGAACUAUUUUUUCAGUCCAUUGGUCAAGCGAGGGUGUAAUUGCCAGUGGGGCAGGUGAUGAUGCUAUCUGCUUAUUUGCCGAGGAGAAUAGUAUGGUUGAGGGACCUUCCUACAGAUUAAUACUGAAGAAAGAGAAGGCACAUGACACGGAUGUAAAUUGUGUCAGAUGGUGUCCUCAGAACCCAAGGGUGCUGGCAUCCGUGAGCGAUGAUGGCACAGUCAAAUUGUGGGAGCUGCAGGGGGAUAUACUGGAUUGA